RNAcentral lists this long non-coding RNA (1214 nucleotides) under Phasianus colchicus (ring-necked pheasant). Its description in RNAcentral is "lncRNA (ENSPCLG00000020136.1)". The record is from RNAcentral. Lineage: Eukaryota; Metazoa; Chordata; Aves; Galliformes; Phasianidae.
CCAAAAUCGGAACCCCCCCAAAAUAGAGACCCUAAAGGGGGAUCCUAAAUGGAACCCCAUAGCGGGACCCUAACAGGGAAUGUGUGGAAGCAGAGCAGCGGCCAGGAGCUGAGGGUGAAAUUAACGCCUUUAUUAAUUAGUGCUUAAUGAAGGCAGCAGCGGGCGGCGGCGCAACGCAGCGCAGCGGGACGGCGGCUCCUUAAUGGCGUUCAGCCAAAGGAGAGGAUUCACUGCAGUGGGGCACAGCUAUGGGGCAGAGCUAUGGGGCAGAGCUAUGGGGCAGAGCUAUGAGACAACUUAUGGGACAGGCUAUGGGGCAGAGCUAUGGGGAAGAGCUAUAGGGAAGAGCUAUGGGGCAAUCUGUGGGGCACUGCUAUGGGGCAGAGCUAUGGCACAGAGCUAUGGGGCGGAGCUAUGGGGCGGAGCUAUGGGGCAGAGCUAUGGGGCAGAGCUAUGGGGCAAUCUAUGGGGCAGAGCUAUGGGGCAAUCUAUGGGGCAGUCUAUGGGGCAGUCUAUGGGGCAAUCUAUGGGGCAGAGCUAUACGUUAAUCUAUGAGACAACUUAUGGGGCAGAGCUAUGGGGCAGCCUAUGGGGCAGUCUAUGGGGCAAUCUAUGGGUUAGAGCUAUAGGGCAGAGCUAUGGGGCAAUCUAUGGGGCAGAGCUAUGAGAAAACUUAUGGGGCAGAGCUAUGGGGCACUCUAGGGGGCAAUAUCUAGGGCAGAGAUAAGGGGCAGAGCUAUGGGGCAAUCUAUGGGGCAGAGCUAUGAGGCAAUUCAUGGGGCUGUAUCUAUGGGGCAGAGCUAUAGGGCAAUAUAUGGGGUGGAGCUAUAGGGCUGUAUAGUUCCAUUGCACCACCCCAUCCAUGUCUGACCCCAUACGGACCCCACAGCUCCGCCCCAUUCAUGUCUGACCCCAUACAGACCCCACAGCUCCGCCCCAUUCCUGUCUGACCCCAUACGCAGCCCCACAGCUGCAGCGCCGCUCCCCGCGGCAGACUUUUAUAGAGAGGCGGUCGUGACGUCAUCACAGCACAGCCAAUGGGCGCGUUCCAGGAGAGUCUCACUGCUCUGCUAUUGGUGGAUCUUCACAAAGCCCCGCCCCCCCCGUCCGCCCGCAGAGCCAGCGCGCCGCCGUGGGCGGGCGGAGAGUGACGGGCGGACGGGGACAGCGGAGGACUGACGACGGACGACGGCCGGACGACGGCCGGACGCAGG